RNAcentral lists this long non-coding RNA (1255 nucleotides) under Helianthus annuus (common sunflower). Its description in RNAcentral is "sRNA HanXRQr2_Chr01g0033271". The record is from RNAcentral. Lineage: Eukaryota; Viridiplantae; Streptophyta; Magnoliopsida; Asterales; Asteraceae.
UGUUAUAUAAUAUACAAUAAUCAAACGUUAACCACAUACAAUUUAUCAUUUAAACGAAAAAAACGGUCUCAAGGUUUUCUCCUGCUGCAGCUGGGCUGGUGAAGAACCUGUUGCGCCUAUUCUGUUUAUGAUUUGCGCACCAUUAACUGUACGGCAUCUUCUUACUCCGCCAUGUUAGUUCAGCUAUUCAAUCUCGCCUCUCCAUACGGCAAUUCUUCUAAUCAUAAUCAACAAAAACACCUAACACAAUCGGCCACAUGAAACAAAUCCAAAACUGGAAUUGAUAAAACUAAAAAAACAUUUGUUUAAAAAAAGCAUACCAGUCACUGCUCAAUUUAAUCAACUCACAAACUGUGCAAAUCCUUAGCUCUCUUCAAAUGGAGAAUCAAGAAAGCUCAAAAUACUGCAACAAUUAACAAAACCUUCUAAAUUUAACACCAAAUAAUCGACUCCUAACAUCUAACAAAUAUUUUAGAUAAAAGUUGGUUAUUUGCUGAAAUUUGUAUAUUCAAAUCAUAGUGGAUCCCAAAUCAAAAAAACUUCUUUAUGGCGCGCAUUGUGAGAAUUGAGUAUCCUGAUUACAUGGGGUUCUUGUCGACCCACCAGUUCGUCGAAUUGGAAAUUUUAAAAAUUUCUAACGCCCUUAUUCAAGAUAUUAAAAUAGUUUUAUGUAUAUUUCUAAGAGAAUAAUAAAACCCUAUAAACCUAACCUUGUUACUCGAAAUAAGCGAAGAAAGGAGAAAAAUAUGGGAAAAGUGUUUCCUCUUGGUUCUGAAGUCUGAAGAUCUAUGCAUCUGAACAACAUAUGACCAAGAUAUUAGUUGUACAUAAAAUCCAUUUAGUAGCACAAAAAGGAUGGCUUUCUGCUACCCUUAAAUGAAAAGAGGUGGCAAAACGUGUGAGCCUGGUGACAUGUUAAAAGGGUAGGUUUGGUUUGGUUAGGUUGACCCGUAAAUUUUUUUUUUCCAGUUUCUAUUCUUUUUUUUAUAAUAAUAUAAACAGCCCCUAUAUGUGGCAAUGGUGUUGUUUGAACACACAACCACAAAUAACGACGUGCUUGUGGAACCCCCAUAAGUACGCUCGGGUAGAGGGGCCUGGGUAGUCCAACAACCUAAACAAUUACAGGUGAGACUAAGCCUCUAUGUGUCGAAUCAUAUUGUAUAAAAGUGUAACGUAUAAUUGGAUCAUGCAAAGAUGAGUAUGUUAGCGGCUAUCUAAAAUAGCUUAUGAAGUACCCAAGUUCAUGGUUCAAGUA